Molecule: long non-coding RNA, 679 nt
Filed under: Eutrema salsugineum
Lineage: Eukaryota; Viridiplantae; Streptophyta; Magnoliopsida; Brassicales; Brassicaceae
Description: long non-coding RNA (ESAL_LNC000710)
Source: RNAcentral
AGAAUUUGUUGAAACAUUGUUGAUGUAAGUCGUUAGGGAAGAUGUUGUACAACUUAUUUGAAAGAUAAGUAAAUCAUAUCAAACUAAAGGGAAGCUGUGCCACAUUCGAAAAAACAAAUCCAAGAAGACAGAGAAGGUAAAACAUGGGAAAGUCAUACAGUUGCUUUCACCUUUUGUAUCUCUCCGGUAUCAACUUGCUUUUUUUCUUUUUUUUUUUCUAAUUAUCAGAGAUUCUGGGCCGAAGCCCGUAAUCCCCCUAAAUCCAAAACCACAACAUGUAAUAUUAGUUUCGUCCCAAAAGUUACUGAAGACAUCGAAGAUCGGCAGGAUAGAAUACAUACACAAAUUAAAUAAAAUAUAUAAAACGAAUCGGAAAUGUAUUAAAAAGAACAGGAAAAACAACAUCAAAUCGUCAUCUUACUUGAGGAACGUUAGACCAGCAUUGAUAAUUUUAGAUAAACUAAAUGAAAAGUGAUAUUUAGGACAUUUGCAUAGAGAAUUGAAAUACGUUAGACCGGCAUUGCUUUCAGUGUUAACACCAAUUCCAAGAUCUGCAUAAUAGAAAACAAAAAAAAAAAACAAAAUUUUAAAAAAAAAACUGAAUCGGAAGUGUGUUAGAAAGAAACAUGAAAAACAAAUUGCAGUGGUCUUACUUGGAAGAACAAAUAUUGACAAAAUU